This 152-nucleotide ribosomal RNA is filed under the name Bacillus cereus. Its description in RNAcentral is "partial 16S ribosomal RNA". It matches the Rfam family "Bacterial small subunit ribosomal RNA", at positions 1385 to 1533 of the family's 1533-position model. The record is from RNAcentral. Lineage: Bacteria; Bacillati; Bacillota; Bacilli; Caryophanales; Bacillaceae.
ACACACCGCCCGUCACACCACGAGAGUUUGUAACACCCGAAGUCGGUGGGGUAACCUUUUUGGAGCCAGCCGCCUAAGGUGGGACAGAUGAUUGGGGUGAAGUCGUAACAAGGUAGCCGUAUCGGAAGGUGCGGCUGGAUCACCUCCUUUCU